Non-coding RNA from Paramormyrops kingsleyae, 896 nucleotides. The record is from RefSeq and is a predicted model, not a curated record. NCBI's taxonomy places the organism in Eukaryota, Metazoa, Chordata, Actinopteri, Osteoglossiformes, Mormyridae.
UUUUGCAGUGAAUUCGGAGGCUGAGCCUUGUUAACCAAAUAAAUCGAACAUCAGCUGUGUGAUAGAGCUAUUUGGGAAGAUUCUGCCAAUUUCCUGACUCAGCUAUUCGCAGUGGCCAUUCAUCUGGGGAUGAUACCAUGAAGACAAAUUGAGAGUGAUACUCAUACGGUGGCAAAACGCUCUCCAGAAUCUUAAUGUGUACGCUGAGUUCCACCGCAUUACAAAUGUGAACCUACACAACAUGUUCUACACAGAGCUUGACCGACACACACCACGACUGAUCUACUUGAACAGGCAGAAGGUGUCACGAAUGGGCAAGACAGCAGAAGUGCUAUGGGAGAUUCAUGGGACUUAGGAUGUCCAGGAAGAACAUGAUGUCAACAUGAGAUGCACUUUGUCCCUUCGUGCACUUCCUGUCUACCUGUGCAAGGAUGACUCAGAGUUCUUCAAGACCUGCAGUGCCAGCACUGUUAAUAUUAGUACUUUUAGCAAUAUUAGUACAAUUAGUACUGUGUAAACUUACAUUUACAAGCUGAAAUGCUCCUUUCAGCAUUUUAAAUAAGAAAAAUAAUUACUGUAUAAUUAUGCUUUUUUUUGCAAAGAAGAGUUGGUGGUUGUAAUCAUUUUAUCCUUUUGACAAAUUUAAACAACCUAAGAAGUGCAGGACAAAAUCAACAGCAAUUGUCCCUUUUGGGGGGUCGCUUUGACGUUGCUAAGGAGAGAAUUAGAAAAGAACCAUGUCACAGCCACUAUGGAUAGGAGAAAUUAUUAUAAGCAACAUUAACCUUCAAUAUACAUAUUGCCAUGGAAGUGAUGCAUAAAUACAGACAGAGACACAAACAGGCAAUAUAGACAGACAGAAGUAAGAGGGUAAUAAUGAACAUACCAUUUAUGAG